RNAcentral lists this long non-coding RNA (783 nucleotides) under Malus domestica (apple). Its description in RNAcentral is "long non-coding RNA (MDOM_LNC007777)". The record is from RNAcentral. Lineage: Eukaryota; Viridiplantae; Streptophyta; Magnoliopsida; Rosales; Rosaceae.
UUUUCCCGGCCAAAUUGGACUUGGCCACAAGUAUAAAACUUGCUCUACUCAUUGAGAUCUUCAUUUUGUGAAAUUUGAGAAUUUUUGGAAUUAGUUGAAAUUUUUCAGUGAGUCGGGGCGGCGUGUGCGGCGGCACAUGGCUAGAAUGACGAUAUUGUUUUUUAAAAGCUAAUUACAAUGUUCUGAGUCCAUAUUUAAAAUAUAUUUGAUGUGGAUCAAUUGUUUGGACCAAAUUUGUGAUUGUUAGUCACUUAAAUAUCGAAGAUAAUGAAUUAGGAAGUAGAAUGUGAACUACGAAAUGUUUGAUCCCGCUCAAGGAUACGUAGGCAGUCUAACAGUGUUAGAUGUAGCCUUAAAUGAUCGAGACAAAUAUGUGAUUGAGAAAUUGAGAUAAAUAAGAAAUUUGGUGUUUGUUAUAAAAUCAAAUCUUAUGUAUUGAUAAUUAAAUUUUGGUUAUAGAUUUUGUGAACAAUUAAUAAAUUUAAGUAAGGAAUUAUAAAUUAUGGUAAUUAAACAAUUGAGUUUGAUCUCUUGUUGGGAAAUUAGAAUGAAGAGAAGGAAUUGGUGCAAAAAUUAAAAAUAUAAACAUAAGUUUUGCUAAAUACAUUUGGUGGUAUACUUAUGUAAGUAAUUAGGAAAUUUUAAGUAAAGAAUAAUGUGUAUUGGUAAUAAAUUAAACAAAAAUGUUGAAUUAGGCCUAUCAUUGAAAUUAUUUCCCGAAAUUAAAUAUUUCGGGGCGAUUGUUACAGCGGGGCUAGGACAGACGCCCCUGCACGCCUACGC